This 1331-nucleotide ribosomal RNA is filed under the name metagenome. RNAcentral's name for it is "SSU rRNA". It matches the Rfam family "Eukaryotic small subunit ribosomal RNA", at positions 1 to 1365 of the family's 1831-position model. The record is from RNAcentral.
UCUGGUUGAUCUUGCCAGCAGUGAUAUGCUUGUCUCAAAGACUAAGCCAUGCAUGUGUCAGUAUAUAUUUUGCAUUAGAAAACUGCGGAAAGCUCAUUAGAAAAGUGUAAAUGAAAAGUCAUAAUAAUAAUAUGCAUACCUUCUGUAAUUCUGAGGCUAAUGGAUGCAGGCGAUAAGGCAGUUCCAAAACAUGCACAUGAUGAGUUGAAAUAUCACCAAUUUAUUGGGAAUAUGUGCAAUACAAUUAUGUAAGCUGUUGCUUGUCACAUAGGCGAUUAUAUUCUUACCUAUCAGCUUGCGAUGAUACGCUAGUAACGUAUUAUGGCUGUUACGGGUGGCGAAGAAUUAGGGUUUGAUCUCGGAGAGGACGCUUGAGAAAUAGCGGCUACAUCUAAGGAAGGCAGCAGGCGCGUAAAUUACCCAAUCUUGACACAAGGAGGUAGUGACAAGAAAUAACUGUGUGUGGCUCUAUGCUGCUCAUCCGGAAUGUGUGACAGGUUAAGCGUGUUGCGAGUAGCUAUUGGAGGGCAAGUCUGGUGCCAGCAGCCGCGGUAAUUCCAGCUCCAAGAGUGUAUAUUAAAGUUGUUGCGGUUGAAAAGCUCGUAGUUGGAUUUAUGCUAUGCUGGUACAGUCGACCCCCUGGGUAGGACUUGUAUUGUUGCAUUGCACACUGUAGAAUUUGUGUAUGUUUUUCAGUAAAUGUGCAGAAUACUACUUAGUUACUUUGAGGAAAGUGGAGUGUCACACGCAGGUUGCGCCGUGAACAUGCUAGCAUGGCAUGACGCUGUAUGACUACGAGUCUUUUUGAACGGUUUCGGGACACGUGGUAAUGAUUGAUAUGAGGUGUUGGGGAUACUCAUAUUUGACAGUUAGAGGUGAAAUUCUUGGAUUUGUCAAAGAUGAACAAAUGCAAUAGCAUUUAUCAUGGAUGUUUCAUUUGAUCAAGAACGAAAGUUAGGGGAUCGAAGACGAUCAGAUACCGUCCUAGUCUUAACCAUAAACUAUGCCAACUGGAAAUUGGAAUAUAUGGAGAGAAAAUAUAUUCAGUAUUGUGCCUGAAAAGAGUAAGUGUGUGGGCUCCGGGGGGAGUAUAGUUGCAAGACUGAAACUUAAAGGAAUUGACGGAAGGGCACCACCAGGAGUGGAGCCUGCGGCUUAAUUUGACCCAACACGGGAAAUCUCACCAAGUCCAGACAUACGCAGGAUUGACAGAUUAAUUGCUCUUUCUCGAUUGUAUGGGUGGUGGUGCAUGGCCGUUCUUAGUUGGUGGAGUGAUUUGUCUGGUUAAUUCCGUUAACGAACGAGUUCCUAUUCUGCUAACUGUUGCAACA